UACGUAGGGAGCGAGCGUUGUCCGGAUUUAUUGGGCGUAAAGAGCGCGUAGGCGGCUUGGUAAGCCGGAUGUGAAACCCCCGAGCUCAACUCGGGGCGGCCAUUCGGAACUGCCAUGGCUAGAGUCUGGUAGGGGAACACGGAAUACCUGGUGUAGCGGUGAAAUGCUUAGAUAUCAGGUGGAACACCAGUGGCGAAGGCGGUGUUCUGGGCCAGUACUGACGCUGAGGCGCGAAAGCGUGGGGAGCAAACAGG
Molecule: ribosomal RNA, 254 nt
Filed under: uncultured bacterium
Lineage: Bacteria
Description: partial 16S ribosomal RNA
Rfam family: Bacterial small subunit ribosomal RNA
Source: RNAcentral